UGGACUCACAGUCGUGGCUGCCUCUUGCUCCGCCAGGGCCACCCGCCCAGGAGAAGCGGGAUUCUUCCGUGGAGCUGGCAAAGCGACCCUGGGAGAGGACCCUGUCUGGUACGAUCCCCACCACCACCACCGUUCAUCCGGUGCUGCCCAAUCCCCAGUACCACGUAUUUCUGCUGUGCUGGUAACCAAGUGAGAAAAUGAAGAUUUAAACCGGCUCAUUGUUCAAGGCCAGCCUGGACUACAUGGUGAGGCCCUGUCUCAAAAAAAAAGUUCCAGAGUCCAGAAGUUCAGAAUCGGUAUCAUCACUGCGCAGAAGUCAGAUAUCAUCAGGCUCCAGGGGAGAAUCGUUUCCUCACCUUGCCCCCACCGGGCUUCCGGGGUCUGCGGCGGUUCAUCACUCCAGACAUC
This is a long non-coding RNA of Heterocephalus glaber (naked mole-rat), 408 nucleotides long. RefSeq lists it as uncharacterized. NCBI's taxonomy places the organism in Eukaryota, Metazoa, Chordata, Mammalia, Rodentia, Bathyergidae. The record is from RefSeq and is a predicted model, not a curated record.